Molecule: ribosomal RNA, 253 nt
Filed under: uncultured bacterium
Lineage: Bacteria
Description: partial 16S ribosomal RNA
Rfam family: Bacterial small subunit ribosomal RNA
Source: RNAcentral
UACGAUGGGUGCAAGCGUUACUCGGAAUUACUGGGCGUAAAGCGUGCGUAGGUGGUUCGUUAAGUCGGCUGUGAAAGCCCGGGGCUCAACCCCGGAGGGUCAGCCGAUACUGGCAGACUAGAGUACGGAAGAGGUAGCUGGAAUUCCCGGUGUAGCGGUGAAAUGCGUAGAGAUCGGGAAGAACAUCGGUGGCGAAGGCGGCCUGCUGGGCUCUUGCUGACACUGAUGCGCGACAGCGUGGGGAGCAAACAGG